Heterocephalus glaber (naked mole-rat) is the source of this 1001-nucleotide long non-coding RNA. RefSeq lists it as uncharacterized. The record is from RefSeq and is a predicted model, not a curated record. NCBI's taxonomy places the organism in Eukaryota, Metazoa, Chordata, Mammalia, Rodentia, Bathyergidae.
CACGCUGGAAUACUCCUGGUCCAGGCGCCUGUUGCUUUCCUCAAGGAUGUAGGUGGGGUAGCCGACCUGCUCCUGGAUGCUCAUGGCCUGAGGAGGAGCAGAGAGCUGGGUGGGAAGGCUGGCACUGCGCACGGUCUUGCAGGUCCCUGGGUGCUGGGGUCCCUGCCCCCCAUACCCAUUGGGGCCAUGACUGCUGGACUUGGUGGAUGCCCCACACCUCUAUUUGCAGGGCUCCGCAGGCACUGGCUCCAGCGCCUCUGCAGCUGCCAGGCCCUGCCAGGCCCACUCACCUUCUCCUGGGCCUUCUUCUUGGAUUCCUCGUCCAUCCAGCCCAGCUCGUCCAGGGUCUCCACGAACAUGGCCUGCACCUUCUUGAUGAGCUCUCUGACCUGAGGGCACGCGCGCCCUUGAAUCCGGGCCUCCUUGACAUACAGGGAGCCCACGGCGCUCUCCAUGUUGCUGUUGACGUAGCCGACGCACUCCCGCCAGCGCACCUCCUCCACCGUGGUGCCGUACAGCACCUGGCAGGCCGUUCAAUUAGGAUGCACAGGGACAAGACAGAAAUGUCCCCAUCAGAUGUGAUCCUGCAUCUGUGCCCGACCUUGGCUGCAACCCAUGCUCAUGCCAAGCAUCAGGGACCAAGCAGUGGGCGGAGUCUCCUCUGAGCCCUCACCUUGCGGUAGUUUACCCGGGCAUCCUUGAACCGCUGGCUCAGGCUGCUGAUGCGAUCCAGCACCAGGCGCCAGACCAGAUAGUUCUGCAUGGUCCUGGGCAGGAAGCAGCACGGGGUGAGCACUCUCUGUGAGUUGGGAGACCAGGGUCCACCCAUCCCCCGCAUGCUUGGAAGGCCCCAGUCUCUAGUGCAGGGCUCACGGUCAUCAGUCACCUCCACGCCCCUCAGCCCUGGGGUGACUGGGAGGCUCCCUCUCCUGAGGAGGUGAGCAGGGGUGGGGAGAACAAAUAUGCUGAGGCCCCGCGGGACGCCCCCAGCCUCACCUGGC